AGGACCCUGCAAGGAUGCUUAGUGCUUACACCUUUUAAAAUCUGCCAAAAUCCGUGAGGGAAUAUAGUUGGAUCAUGGAACAGGUCUAGUCAUUGGUGAAACUGCUAUAUUUAGAAAUUGGGUUUCAUUAAUGCAGGUGCUGUCCAACAACCAAAUGUUUGCUGCUGUUAAUAGAGUAUUAUUUUGACUUUUGAGAGAGUUAGUCUCAACAUGAGCAAUCAGCAGAGAACCACUAUUCUUUGGAAAGCACAACCUUUUCCAUGACAAAUCACCAAUAAGGCAUACUUAGCAUGAUGGCUGAGUAUAUAUUUCCUUGACAUGGGCUACAAAGUGUGAUGGCUGACUCCACCUCCUGACGGGUUGAGGCAUUGCAUGAGAUCUCAAGGCAUUUGUACUCGAUGAGAAGGUGAAAGGUCUGAGAACUCGAGGAGCAGGCAAAGCUCUGAACAAGGCAUCGGGCGACUGGAAUAGGAGGUCUGCAAAAGAAGUAGAGUUCAUCAGUUGAGGGAAGGGACAACUCAGGAGGGAGCACACUAUGUCGAGAUCAAAAGGAGUUUUCAGGAUGAUGCACCCAGAUAAACUGCGUGAACUGAAGUCAAAAGCUUUUUGGAGGGAACUGGUCCUCCUACCUCGUGAGAAUUUCACAUAUCUAUGCAUUGGAGAGGGUCAAACUUGUGCUGGCAUGGUCAUUCAAUAGUAAGGUGUUAGAUCAACAUAUGCUUACUGUUCGAGUUUUGGAACAUCUUGUUGGAUCAA
Molecule: long non-coding RNA, 756 nt
Organism: Panicum virgatum (switchgrass)
Lineage: Eukaryota; Viridiplantae; Streptophyta; Magnoliopsida; Poales; Poaceae
Exons: 7
Source: RefSeq, a predicted model, not a curated record